GUGGUUGUAGCUCAGUGGUAGAACACCUGCCUAACAUGUGUGAGGCACUGGGUUCGAUUCUCAGCACCACA
Molecule: transfer RNA, 71 nt
Filed under: Ictidomys tridecemlineatus (thirteen-lined ground squirrel)
Lineage: Eukaryota; Metazoa; Chordata; Mammalia; Rodentia; Sciuridae
Description: Spermophilus tridecemlineatus (thirteen-lined ground squirrel) tRNA
Rfam family: tRNA
About the family: Transfer RNA (tRNA) molecules are approximately 80 nucleotides in length. Their secondary structure includes four short double-helical elements and three loops (D, anti-codon, and T loops).
Source: Rfam by way of RNAcentral